This 453-nucleotide long non-coding RNA is filed under the name Marmota monax (woodchuck). Lineage: Eukaryota; Metazoa; Chordata; Mammalia; Rodentia; Sciuridae. The record is from RNAcentral.
GUUUCCACCUGCCCAUGUGCAGUUAAGGCCAGGUUCUGCUGCUCAUAGGACACGGACACCCCCAGCGGCCCAAGACCUGGUUAUUUUUCUCUCACAGUCAAGUCUUCAGGUUGGCCUUGCAGGGCUGGUAUGGAGUCCCUUGGUGUCACCAGGGUCUGGGCUCCUGUCUCCCUGCUCUUCCUUCCACCUGGGACUUCUUAAAGAAGGUGGGGAAAGAGCCUUUUCCAAAUGAAGCAGCUUUUUAAGAACCGCCUCCUGAGGAACCCAAAUCAUGCUUCUCCUUGGCCAGUAUUUGUUCACCUGCCCACAUUUCAGGGGUGGCUAAGAAACACAGCUAUAUUUUGAGGAUUGCUCACAGCAAUUUGCACAUCUAAACACAAGGACUUACUAAUGGAUGGUUGGUUGUUCCAACAGGCAGAUGCAUACAGGUCAAAUCUGGCCACAGAUGCUUUG